UGGAGGGAGAUGGGCCUGGCUGCUAGGAGUUAAGCAGGGUACCAAGACUGGAGCAGGGCUGAGGGAAGACCAGAGGAGCUAGGGAGCUUUGGCCUGGAAAUCCCCAAGGCUGCAGGCCUUGUUAAAGGCAAAAGAAAGGGGCAACGGACUCCCAGUGCUAACCAGUGGCCCUGCCCUCCCUCUGUCACAGCCCUCUAGGCGUAUAGGUUCCUGUUCCGCCGCCGCCUCCACCACCUCCUCCGCUCGGAUUGGCUAUGAUCUGCCCUCCAGAGACGUACAUAGGGACGGCUCCAGUGCUGGCCACAGUCUGGGAGGUUGCAGGAGUGGUGACCUGCGCCGGGGUGGCUUGCGAUUCAUAAUAAUUGGCUCCUGUGCUCUGCGUAUAGAGAGGGGUCUCUGUGUAUGGGUAAGUGCUGGAACGUCUGAAACAAGAGGGGAGGUUUAGCAGAGUUGUGGAGCAGAUGCCACGGCCGUUGUGCAAAUAGAUAUUUCACAUUUAUAUAGCACCUUUCAUCCGCCACUGAAAUGCAGCUACCACUGGGGUGGAACACAGCACCUGAUUAAUACCACAACAGUCUACGGCAGGAAAUGACGAGAAAUCUUGUAUCCAACAAAGUGCAGGGUGAAGUUAGCGAGGCAGAACAGAGUUAUCCAGGCUGGACUUUGGCUGGGGUGAUAGGGUUAAUGUGCCCAGGGCCUCAGUUCUUCAUUUCACCAGAAAGAGGAGGAGGAGGAUGAUGAUGAUGAUGAUAAUAAUACAGUGGUUUCCAUACACAGAUCUCAAAGUGCUUUACAAAGGAGGGCAGUAUAGUUAACCCCAUUUCUCAGAUGGGGAAACUGAGACACAGAGCUCACCCAGCAAAGCAGUGGAGAAGUGCCUGUUAGUGCCACGUUGACACCACUUCCUGCAGCACUAUAGCUGCCAAGUUCGAGUCUGAUUCAUUCUCUCUCUCCUCUCUCCACAGCCCUUUAAGGAGCAGAAAAAGAUGGGGAGGUACAAACUGAUCCCCUUAGAUCAGUGGGAGCAAGAGUGAGUGGAAAGAGAAGCAGGCAGUCUGUUGCCCAGAAGCAGAUGGCAGGAGACCCCACUUGGCAGGUUUCCAGCAACUCUGGACAACACGAUCUCCUUACUUUAUAAACCCUGUGAGGUUACUACCCAAGCUAUUAUAAUAUCUGAAACUGUUCCAAUCCUGUCCAUCACAAAGGAUCCCCAGGCAUUUUAUACACACUAAAGGGCCCCACCCUGUGGGGUGGGGUGCAGCAGCUGUUUGACAGCUGCCUAGCAGCACUGCAUGAGAGUUUAUGGUAGGAAGUGAAAAGGAAUGCUGCAUCCAACUGAAAUUACAAGUAGGAUUUCAGGGAAGCAGAAUGUAAACUGCCCAUCCUGACAUUUGGCCAGGACAUUGGGGUUAAUGAAAUGGAACCUACAAUGGCCAGAAGUAGCCCUGCCCGUGGGUUUCUGAAGAGAAGAGCUCAGUAUUCUAACUUGCCUGUAUUUUACAGUGAAAUCUGCUGCAUUGAAUCAGAAUUGUUUGCGACGGGAAUGAAUUGGUGCCUGUUCUCCCAUGUCCCAGCCUUGUCUCUGUGGAUGGAAUCCAGGCAUCUCCCUCCCCCAAAACUCAGUUUCUGGGCUCCUAUUUCACUCGAAUCCAAGACACAAACCAAAUAUCUGCUUUCAAGAGGUCCAAGAAUAUCAGUGCCCGUGGCAGGGACUGGCCUAGGUGGGUAAGGAAUGCAGGCAAAACGGGGAUCCCCGGUGUAAUGCUACUGGCUUCAGCAGAAGGAAGUGAUCCGUGGUGUCCUAAUGCAAUGGGAUGGGGAUGCUGGGUGGUUCCAGCUCUGCUCUCUGGAAGGAGCAGGGAGGGCAGAGGCAACCAUUCUUGGAUCUCCCUGGGGAACCUCUCCAUGACCUACUUUAAGAGCUGUAGCUGCUGUCCCAAACACUAGCACCUGAGGGACUCUCUGAAUCUUGACUCUCUGGUCGGGACUGGCGUGAUGAGAGGAGAGGAACGGCAGCUGCUCAAUCACCACCUUUUGCUGCGGGAGGAGGAGGUGCUGAGGAAGCAUUCGGACCAGUUCCACCCACUGCUCCGAAGUGGAUUCUAGCGAGUGGAGAUAGUGGAGCCUGUGCUCUUGGCUGGCUAGACAGCAGCUGGCCAGCGGAUGCGUCCCGCUACUACACUCUAAGGAGAGAGGAUGCUGCACUGCCUGCGGCUGCUGCUGCUCACAGUUCCUAGCCGGACCAGGGAACUCACUGCCUGCGCUCUAAACAAUAAACAGAAACACUGAGGAAAUCGGAGCUUGCAUUGCAACCACGAGCUGUUCGACUGCUUCCCUGCUCAUGGGGGAAACUCCUGCUCAGAGUUAAACCCAGUCGCUACUUAAUGCAGCACCUAAUACCACAACAGUACUCUGCAUUUACAUGACAUCUUCCAUUUGAGGACCUGACUGUGCUGAAUAAUGGCAGAUCCCUCCUGGGAGCUCCUGACUCUGCCAACCCCACCACCCACAGCCGUGUGCUGUUCUGAGGGGUGACUUCGCUAGCUGUCAGAUCUGGAUGGUGCUUUGUGGAACAAAUGAAAAGCAUGCAGGUUAAGGCAGGAAGUGAUAGCAACACAGGAACUCCUCGAAUUUAGAUGGGUAUUUCUAAUGUGCCUAAAACUGCAACAGCCAUUGAUCCUACCGCACUUUAAGUUUAUAAAGCAUGUUCGGACCUGAGUUAAGCCCCACAACUACCUGCAAGACCUGCAGAGGAAAGCCAGUCCUAGGAGCAUGAGCUGGAUUCUAUUCUAACUUGUGCAUCACCAACAGAAUACACUAAAUUCCAAAUUCAAAUCUGAAUUGAUGAUGCGUAAGCUAGAAAGAACCUGGCUUGACUCCCUGACCUCAGGGGGAGUUUGCGGUCUGGUAGCAUUACAUUAUUAUCUUUUCACUUGAAAAACGAGUACAUUUGUAUCCGGAGUUGUCAAGAGAUGAUAAAGGAGGAGACUCGCGUAGACAUUCUCGAUAGCAGCAGUAAAUUGGAAUAAGCCCGUCUCUUGAUGUAUGGUUAGUUCUCAGUGGAGAGUCAGCUCUCCAGAUCACUGUAUAAAGGUGCCUCUGUUUACCUGAGCCUGUUCCACAGCUUGGAUUUAUUUUAAAGUGUGUGUUCUAUUCUGAAGAGUGAUUAUUGCUCCUUCUUACCUCUCAGACAUUCGCCCUGGCAGGAUCUACCUGUAGAAGCAACAGUCAGAUUUGGCUGCUUCUCACUCUGAUUAGUCCUGCGGAGCCAAGAGAGCUCUGGGAGAGCAAGGUAGAGUCUCUUGUGGCUCGUGCCUCAUCGAGAGAAUUGCUGAUUCAGUUCUGAGGGGCUUACAAAGGCAAUGGGGCUGCACAGCUGUUCCUGGGGACAGAGAUUCCCUGCAGAACCAUAUUACUGGUGCUGAUCCAGAGGAUGGCAAGAGGCCAAUUUGAUAGGGAAGAUCAGGCAGAGAGGAUGGAUGGUUCCAGUAGUUCAGGCACUGGCAUGGGAUUUGGGAGACCCAGUUCAAUUCCCUGCUCUGCCCACAAACUCCCUGUGUGAAUAUCGCCAGCUCACUUAGUCUCUCUGGGCCUCAAUUAUUCAUCUGUAAAAUGGGGAUAAAAAUAUUUCCCUGCUGCCCACAGGGGGCCUGAGGGUAAAUACAACAAAGACUGUGACGUGCUCAGACACUGUGGUGAUCCAGGUCAUAGAAGGACCUAAAACAGAUAAGAAGGAGUUCAUGCCCAUCUAUUGCAGGCAGAGGUGAUUGGUAUUUGUUUCAAUUAUAUACGUGUACCCAGAGGCUGUGUCCAUAGACAGAUAAUAUAAACCUCUGGGCCUGAUCCUGUUCUCACUGAAGUCAAUGGUCUCCUGAGGGAGCAAGACAGGAAUAAACAUACAUAAUGUUCUGCUGAAAGGGGAUAGCAGUUAAUCUUGUAUCUAAAGACAAUCCCAGAUCUCACUAAAACUUACGUUUGUGGCAAGCAUAGUUUUAGGCCCAAAAGAAGAAACAAUCAAGAUCCUUUAGGUAGCAGAGACAGCUGCAAACAUGGAAGCUACCGCCCAAGGCACUGGGUCACAUGGUAGGUCAGAGCUAAGUUGUAUGGGCUGAGUGGUUUUCCUGGUUGCAAACACAGGGGCUAGGAUGUCGGUGGCUGCCUGUGUGUGUUGGAAGAAACAGCCAGGAGUGUGAGUGUGACCUUGAGGUGAAGCAGAGUGUCUAAGCUUCUUGGGCACAGAGCUCACCGGAAGCUCAGGCAUGGGAAUUUCUGAGGGAGGAAAUUGCCUGCUGCUGUUUGUUUCUAUGGUCAGAGAAACAGCACUCUGGACAUUUUUUUGGAAAUAAACAAGAUAAACCAAGAAUAUACCUGGCUCCUAUAAUCAAUUCCUCAGCCUAAACAAUUCUGAAAGGCCCCUGACAUUAAGUAACCACUCAGGCUGAAGGAGCGACCAUAACAUGUGAGAAGCCAUGAGGCUUUCCCCCACCACACUCCUCCCAGACUUACCGGACAC
Long non-coding RNA from Dermochelys coriacea (leatherback sea turtle), 4513 nucleotides. RefSeq lists it as uncharacterized. Lineage: Eukaryota; Metazoa; Chordata; Testudines; Dermochelyidae. The record is from RefSeq and is a predicted model, not a curated record. The transcript is spliced from 7 exons.